Mytilus trossulus (common blue mussel) is the source of this 1416-nucleotide long non-coding RNA. RefSeq lists it as uncharacterized. Lineage: Eukaryota; Metazoa; Mollusca; Bivalvia; Mytilida; Mytilidae. The transcript is spliced from 3 exons. The record is from RefSeq and is a predicted model, not a curated record.
GGAAUUUUUCACAACACCGAAUGAAUGGCUGUUCACGCAUUUGUUUUAAAAGUUUCGUCUAAAAGUUCUUGAAUACGAUAUGACUGAAACCCGCAGUCACUUUUCUUGGUAAGGAGUUGCAUUUUGGAGAGCCAGACUAUGAUAGCCUUAGCAUUUCUAUAAAGUGAUAACAUAACUUAAAGAAAUUCAAAACUUUUCCUAUAUAACAUUAACCAUAGCCAAUUAAAGAUAAAUUUUUCAUUUUUUUUUAACUGGUUAUGAUGUUGGAUGCCAUUUUUUUAAACGAAACAUUGGAAUAGCAUGGAUCUCUCCCUAUAAGCACACUAACUUCUAAGUGUAUCCUACGUCAUAGACCAUAUAUUACAAUGUGAAGAAAAUAUUGAUUGAAAAUUUUUUAACUCAUCUCUACUCUGUAUUCACUAUAUAUUACAUAAAGACUGCACCUGUACUGAAGACAAACACUGCACUUGCACUUGGACUGAAGACAAAAACACUGCACUUUGACUGAAGACCAAAACACUGCACUUGGACUGAAGACAAAAACACUGCGCUUGGACUGAAGACCAAAACACUGCACAUGGACUGAAGACACUACACCUGGACAAAAUAUCCAAGUUGAAUGGGACUAGGGACCACUGGAACUAGCUCCUUAAAAAAACAUAUUCAUUAUUGACCUCUUUAUUGAUAUGUUAUGAUGAAAUCAUGUUUUUGAUAAUUGCAUUGAUUAAUGAUCAUGCAUUAAAACAUUGGAUUGACCUCGACCCAAGACUUAUAGUUUCUCCAGAGUAUAAAUGAGUUUGCUCGUUUAAAGUGUAUUGAAAAUUUCAAUUAAAUAUUUACCAUUUUGUUAACAUUUAAUAGCAUUAGGCUAAUGGCUGGUGCACCAAUAUAGAUUUUCAAUAAUUGGCUCCAAUUUAUUUUUAUUUUUUUUAAAUCAGAAAAUUGCAACAUCAAUAAAGUUGAUAAUUAUUUAUAGCUUUUGUUAAAGAUACAGCCUUUUCUUUAAUAUAUGUUGCCACUUUGGACUGAAGAAGAUGGAUUCAUGGCAGAAAGGAGGAGUCAACCUGUAUGUAUUUGGUCAUUGCAGUUUUUUUUAAAACUAUGUUUCUAUUUGAAUAGACAAUAAGAUCAUUUUUUUUUCUCAACAGUUUGUGAAAAAAAAUACUUCAUAUUAAAUUGGGACUUGUAAAAGCAGACCUCUGCCGAGAGCAAACUUUAGGUUUCAAUUUAAGAAUGACAUGAAGUAUGGGCUUUGCUUAUUGUUGAAAUUGUCGUACGGUUACCUAUAAUUGUUAAAUUCUGUGUCAUUUUGGUCUCUUGUGGAGAGUUGUCUCUCAUUGGCAAUCAUACCACAUCUUCUUUCUUUAUCAAGAUUAAAUUCUGAAAAAUUGCAACAGGAAAGAGUCGGUAUUUAAA